GGUGGACGCUCUAUUAUCAACGUUACGGUAAGAGAGGGAUGACGUAGAGGCGCACCUACACUUGGGAAGGACACCAGCCGACCGAGCAGGAGCCUCGCAAGGACGUGCGGAUCAGGCUGGACUCGACGGACGCGGACGGAGACCCACUGAACGGCGUCCGCACAGGCGUCUCUGACUCAUCGUAUCUGCGCGAGGCUGACCGCGCACAUGUGACAGAGGAGCGGUCGCAGGAGCAGGAUCCCGUCAUGUCACGCGUCCAGAGGGACGGCGCCUCUGCGAACCCAGCGGACAGCAGAAAACCAGAGCCGAGAGCCAACGAGAAGAAGUGCUCCUGGGCCUCCUACAUGACCAACUCCCCAACAGUGAUCGUAAUGAUCGGGCUGCCUGCGAGAGGCAAGACCUACAUGUCAAAGAAACUCACACGCUACCUUAACUGGAUCGGCGUUCCAACCAAAGUGUUUAACUUGGGUGUGUAUCGCAGAGAAGCCGUCAGAUCCUAUAAAUCCUAUGAUUUCUUCCGCCACGACAAUGAGGAGGCCAUGAAAAUAAGGAAGCAGUGUGCUCUGGUAGCGCUGCAGGACGUGAAGGCGUACCUGACGGGGGAGGGGGGGCAGAUCGCGGUCUUUGACGCAACGAACACAACAAGAGAACGGCGAGACCUUAUCCAAGCUUUUGUGAAAGAGAAUGCUUUUAAGGUGUUCUUUGUGGAGUCAGUGUGUGACGACCCAGAGGUCAUCGCUGCUAAUAUUCUGGAAGUGAAGGUGUCCAGUCCAGACUACCCUGAGAGGCACAGAGAGAGGGUAAUGGACGACUUUCUCAAAAGAAUCGAGUGCUACAAGGUCACUUACCAGCCUCUGGAUCCUGAUGAUUACGACAAGGACCUGUCGUUCAUCAAGGUGAUGAACGUGGGCCGGCGUUUUUUGGUGAACCGGGUGCAGGACUACAUCCAGAGUAAGAUCGUCUACUACCUCAUGAACAUCGACGUGCACUCGCACUCCAUCUACCUGUGUCGCCACGGGGAGAGCAGCCACAACGUGGAAGGCCGCAUCGGGGGAGACUCCGAGCUCUCUCCUCGCGGGAAACAGUUUGCCGGUGCCCUGCGCGAUUUCAUCGAGCAGCAUGAACUGUCCAAUUUGAAGGUGUGGACGAGCCAACUGAGGAGGACCAUCCAAACGGCGGAGGAGCUGGCGGUGCCGUAUGAGCAGUGGAAGAUACUCAAUGAGAUUGAUGCUGGUGUGUGCGAGGAGAUGACCUACGAGAUGAUUCAGAAGACCCACCCAGAGGAGUUUGCUCUGAGGGACCAGGACAAAUACCACUAUCGGUACCCAGGAGGAGAGUCCUACCAGGAUCUGGUUCAGCGGCUGGAGCCUGUCAUCAUGGAGUUGGAGCGGCAGGGAAACGUGCUGGUCAUCUGCCACCAGGCCGUGAUGCGCUGCCUUCUGGCCUACUUCCUGGACAAAAGUGCAGAGGACCUGCCCUACAUGAAGUGUCCGCUCCACACCGUGCUCAAACUUACCCCUGUGGCGUAUGGUUGUAAAGUGGAAAUGUUUUAUCUUGACGUGGAGGCAGUGAACACACACCGAGACCGGCCCCUUGGUAAAAUCCCGAGGGACUCAGCUCUUAUACAUCGGCGGAAUAGUUACACUCCGCUGUCCAGUCACGACCAGGUCAAGCGCCCCCGGCUCUACAGCGCAGGCAACCAGCCCUGGCUUCCACUCGCCCCCACCCCGUCGGCUCUGAUGCCUGAGGGACGGCAAAGCCAAGUUAGUGCAGGCCUUCCCUCUGAACCAGCCACUGUUCAACCUGACCCGUCACCUCCCAAACCCGUUGUAACCCUGUGUGUGGCAUUUCCUCACCCCGGUUUUGGAUCCUUCCACAGAUUUAGUGUGUGUUGAAACUGACGUACAUGGAAUCCAUCUGUGUGUUUCUCUCUCUGAGCAUGUGCGGCAUCUUGAAUGGUUGCUCUGUUCCUUUAUCGUUUGUCCUGCAUGACCUCUGCUUUCCUCCUGGCUGUCUCUAGCUUGAAUAUGCAGAACAGAAUGACUUUCUAUGAGCCACAAAGACGCCAGUGACGUCCGAAACCCUAGUUUGUCUCAAAUCAUUAUGAUGGUGCACCUCAACCUCACCACACAACAUUAGGUUUAUAACAGAAACUUUUUUUGCCUAAACGUAAUAAAAGCGAGAUUUUAAAGAGUAAGAAAACAUAAUUUAUUAUGUCUGCGAUGAAGUGUUUGAAGAUGUUUGUUGUGUUUGAUGGCCUUGCAUUGUGCUUCCGCUCUUCUCCACAUCUCUAUCUUUCUCUUUCUCUACUCUCUCCAACUGUCUUACAGACCUGGAUAGGAAACAGUUGUCUGAGUCCCUGCAUGAAGGAAGCGACUGCGAUGGCACCGAACAAACUAGUGGCUGUGACCGCUUUUGAGGGAAGAUGAACGUUUUUCAUUCGUGGCACAGUUUGGAGAUUCAGCCAUGAUUCAUAGUUUUGAUUCAGCAGUUCAUUUUGAAAACCAGGUUUCCUGGGCACAAAGCCAUCUUUUCCAUCUAUUGCAACAUUUCUGUUUGUUGAUACUCUGCAUGCUGAGGCUUUUAACUGGAGUUAGUGUCGUAAACACCUCUGCAUGUGAACCAAAAAAGAAAAUCAACACAAUAUAUACUGCAUAACAAUCCUGACUAUAACUGAUGCAAUGCCUUACUGAACUAAUAGACAGAAUUACAUAGACUAAAUCAUCCAUGCUAUGUAUGUAACAGAAUGAGUAUUGCAAAAAGAACAUGUUACAAAGUAGCUGCAAGAUGUAGAAAUAUAUUUUAUUAUACAAAUCUACUUAUGUAAUUUGCACAAUCUGUAGUUGUGCUUCUUAUCCAAUGUAUUCGUAAGCAUCAUCGUUUGUGUCAUGUGUUUCAGAUUCAGAAUGUAAAAUUGAAAAUUACUUUGUUGUUUGUUCCAGUAGUUAUGGAAGGAUAACAAGUAAAGGUUACCAGUGGACAGCAGUACACCUUAAAUUGAUUGCAUAUUUGUCAGACUGUUCUUCUCACAGCAGCGUUGUGCCUUUUGGUAGACAAAUUAUUUGUUUUUUCCCAGAUAAUGUUGUAUAACCUGCUAUAAAUUAUUUAUGUAUUAUCAGAAGGUAGAUUUAUUAUAUUUAACUGCUUUUGGAUUAAAAUGAAAGGUUUUACAGGACUUCAGAUUUCAAAUAUUACAUCUACAAUAAAGAAACACAACUGAAACGUA
RNA transcript from Betta splendens (Siamese fighting fish), 3226 nucleotides. It is a transcript of the gene named 6-phosphofructo-2-kinase/fructose-2,6-biphosphatase 2b, with no coding region annotated. The transcript is spliced from 16 exons. NCBI's taxonomy places the organism in Eukaryota, Metazoa, Chordata, Actinopteri, Anabantiformes, Osphronemidae. The record is from RefSeq and is a predicted model, not a curated record.